Sorex araneus (European shrew) is the source of this 139-nucleotide small nucleolar RNA. Its record names the gene SNORA70. It matches the Rfam family "Small nucleolar RNA SNORA70". From Rfam's summary of the family: snoRNA U70 seems to be exclusive to mammals and is a member of the H/ACA class of snoRNA which contain H (ANANNA) and ACA box motifs. H/ACA box snoRNAs are involved in the conversion of uridines to pseudouridines (5-ribosyluracil) a constituent of structural RNAs (transfer, ribosomal, small nuclear, and small nucleolar). The record is from Ensembl. NCBI's taxonomy places the organism in Eukaryota, Metazoa, Chordata, Mammalia, Eulipotyphla, Soricidae.
AGGCAGAGCCAACUAAGCUGACCGUGCUCUCUGCCCCACGAGGUCGAUGUGCAACAGCUAUAAAUAGCAAGCAGCCUCUUCAUUAGUGGACGCAUUCUGUGGUUUAUAUAGACUGUUCUAAAAGAUCCUGGAGACAGUC